AAGAACGCCCGGGCUUCGGCCUGGUUAUUCAUAACCCUUUGUUGUCCGACUCUGUUGCCUCCGGGGCGACCCUGCCUUCGGGCGGGGGCUCCGGGUGGACACUUCAAACUCUUGCGUAACUUUGCAGUCUGAGUAAACUUAAUCAAUAAAUUAAAACUUUUAACAACGGAUCUCUUGGUUCUGGCAUCGAUGAAGAACGCAGCGAAAUGCGAUAAGUAAUGUGAAUUGCAGAAUUCAGUGAAUCAUCGAAUCUUUGAACGCACAUUGCGCCCCCUGGUAUUCCGGGGGGCAUGCCUGUUCGAGCGUCAUUUCACCACUCAAGCCUCGCUUGGUAUUGGGCAACGCGGUCCGCCGCGUGCCUCAAAUCGUCCGGCUGGGUCUUCUGUCCCCUAAGCGUUGUGGAAACUAUUCGCUAAAGGGUGUUCGGGAGGCUACGCCGUAAAACAACCCCAUUUCUAAGGUUGACCUCGGAUCAGGUAGGGAUACCCGCUGAACUUAA
RNAcentral lists this ribosomal RNA (499 nucleotides) under fungal sp. FSU 10149. Its description in RNAcentral is "eukaryotic LSU rRNA". The stretch from base 155 to 308 matches the Rfam family "5.8S ribosomal RNA". Lineage: Eukaryota; Fungi. The record is from RNAcentral.